RNAcentral lists this ribosomal RNA (253 nucleotides) under uncultured bacterium. Its description in RNAcentral is "partial 16S ribosomal RNA". It matches the Rfam family "Bacterial small subunit ribosomal RNA", at positions 524 to 776 of the family's 1533-position model. The record is from RNAcentral.
UACGGAGGAUCCAAGCGUUAUCCGGAAUCAUUGGGUUUAAAGGGUCCGUAGGCGGUUUGGUAAGUCAGUGGUGAAAGCCCAUCGCUCAACGGUGGAACGGCCAUUGAUACUGCCAGACUUGAAUUAUUAGGAAGUAACUAGAAUAUGUAGUGUAGCGGUGAAAUGCUUAGAGAUUACAUGGAAUACCAAUUGCGAAGGCAGGUUACUACUAAUGGAUUGACGCUGACGGACGAAAGCGUGGGUAGCGAACAGG